AUCUGCCCAAUGUAAAUUUAAAUGGCUGCAGUAUAAAUAACUGUACUAAGGUAGCAUAAUAAUUUGUUUUUUAAUUAAAAACUAGAAUAAAAGAUUUUAUGAAAUAUAUACUUUAUUAUUUUUAAGUAUUAAAAUUAUUAUUUAAGUAAAAAAACUUAAAUAAAAUUAAAAGACAAUAAGACCCUAUAAAAUUUUAUUUUAAUUAAAAUAAUUUUUUUAAUUAAAAUUUAAUUGGGGUAAUUAAAAAAUUAAAUAAACUUUUUUAUAUAAAACAUUAAUUAAUGAAAAUUAUUUUUUAAAUUUUAAAUAUUAAAAUUAAUUACUUUAGGGAUAACAGCAUAA
RNAcentral lists this ribosomal RNA (342 nucleotides) under Allorhogas sp. CNIN 782. Its description in RNAcentral is "Allorhogas sp. CNIN782 partial 16S ribosomal RNA". The record is from RNAcentral. Lineage: Eukaryota; Metazoa; Arthropoda; Insecta; Hymenoptera; Braconidae.